GACGAACGCUGGCGGCGUGCUUAACACAUGCAAGUCGAACGGAAAGGCCCUGCUUUUGUGGGGUGCUCGAGUGGCGAACGGGUGAGUAACACGUGAGUAACCUGCCCUUGACUUUGGGAUAACUUCAGGAAACUGGGGCUAAUACCGGAUAGGAGCUCCUGCUGCAUGGUGGGGGUUGGAAAGUUUCGGCGGUUGGGGAUGGACUCGCGGCUUAUCAGCUUGUUGGUGGGGUAGUGGCUUCGCCAGGCUUUGACGGGUAGCCGGCCUGGGAGGGUGACCGGCCACAUUGGGCCUGGGAUAGGGCCCAGACUCCUUCGGGAGGAAGCAGUGGGAAAUAUUGCACAAUGGGCGGAAGCCUGAUGCAGGGACGCCGGGUGCGGGAGGACGGUUUUAGGGUAGUAACGAGUUUUCGCCUGUGACGAAGAGUGAGUGACGGUAAUGGAUCAAGAAGCACCGGCUAACUACGUG
Molecule: ribosomal RNA, 468 nt
Filed under: uncultured bacterium
Lineage: Bacteria
Description: partial 16S ribosomal RNA
Rfam family: Bacterial small subunit ribosomal RNA
Source: RNAcentral